RNAcentral lists this ribosomal RNA (468 nucleotides) under uncultured bacterium. Its description in RNAcentral is "partial 16S ribosomal RNA". It matches the Rfam family "Bacterial small subunit ribosomal RNA", at positions 28 to 507 of the family's 1533-position model. The record is from RNAcentral.
GACGAACGCUGGCGGCGUGCUUAACACAUGCAAGUCGAACGGAAAGGCCCUGCUUUUGUGGGGUGCUCGAGUGGCGAACGGGUGAGUAACACGUGAGUAACCUGCCCUUGACUUUGUGAUAACUUCAGGAAACUGGGGCUAAUACCGGAUAGGAGCUCCUGCUGCAUGGUGGGGGUUGGAAAGUUUCGGCGGUUGUGGAUGGACUCGCGGCUUAUCAGCUUGUUGGUGGGGUAGUGGCUUACCAAGGCUUUGACGGGUAGCCGGCCUGAGAGGGUGACCGGCCACAUUGGGACUGAGAUACGGCCCAGAAUCCUACGGGAGGCAGCAGUGGGGAAUAUUGCACAAUGGGCGGAAGCCUGAUGCAGCAACGCCGCGUGCGGGAUGACGGCCUUCGGGUUGUAAACCGCUUUCGCCUGUGACGAAGCGUGAGUGACGGUAAUGGGUAAAGAAGCAACGGCUAACUACGUG